UCAGUUAUUAGGAGCAGAGAAGCAUGUAAGCCAUUUUAUUUAUUAUAUUCCAUCUUAAAUGAAGAUUCACUCGAAUCAUAUGCUUUACCUGAAACGACACUGAGAGCUGAAAUUGCUGGUCCAUAAUUACCUUGUUUAGGUAUGCAGCAGGUCCCUUUACCAGCCCAAAAUAGGUGAAUUUCGAGAUGGUUUUCUGACACAGUAGCACUGAAGUUUUUUAUAAUAGCUCUGUUAGGCCCUCCCGCCUCCUUUGAUAUGUCAAAAUCCUUCCACCGGAGAGUUCCCUAGAAGAUCGACAAUUAGAGAUAGAAUUAUUAUUUCUCAAUGCAUAAAAAGAGAGAGAGAGAGAGAGAGAUUGUAAUCUCGGAAUCACAUGAUCUCCAGCUCCAAAUUUUUGGUUCAGGGCAUUUGUUUACCUGAACAUAGAUAUCAAAAACACGCCUUCCACGACUCUCCCACCUUUCUGUGCUUGGAUCAGGAAAAUUUGUUUCUGCGAAUAACAAGCUUACAUUAUAAGGUCCAUUCACAAGACCCAGGCCAUAGUAUCUAAGUGAUCCGGCGGAUAUCCUUGACGUCUGAUAAAGCUUUGGAGUCCGGGUGCCCGUCACUUGAUCUUGAGUGUUUAGCACAUAAGAUGCAUUUUCUCUUCCAUUAAACAGACCCACUUUACUAACUGCCCAUUUUUCUGUAUUGGUCACAACAAAGGCCGAUGCGCCAAGAUAUGAGUUAUCACCCUCAUACACUAUGUUAUCAGCUCUCAUUUCUGGACUAGCACAUUUGAUUGAGAAGUUUGCAUCUGCAAAUGCAAAGACAAAAAUCGCUAGCUAUUUUCAGAUUGAAUUCCGACAUCAAAUUUCAACAAUUUUUUUGCAUAAAGGUCAAUAACUGGGUAAUAGGAAAUCAUUCAGGCAGUGUUUUUUUUAUUUACACAUCCAGCACGUUACAAAUAUUUUUCAAUUCUCAUCACAUGGAAACUCACUUUAUCACAUCAAAGCUUUUUAAAGCCAAGAUGGCUUAAUACACCAAAUUUACAAUGUAACUACUCUACAAUUUCGACUGACAGUGGUAACAAAAAUUAUCCCCACUUGCAACAAAGCUACCUGAAGUCAUAUUUAAAACUUCUGUACUACUUCCUGCUCUUAUUAAAGUUUUUUCCUCAGCAAUUCAGAAGUAUAGUUAGACAGGCGUUCUUUCUUCUUAAGUGUGGAGCCACAAUAGCUUAUGAAAAUAUGAAACUGCAAACAGCACAGAGAAGGCAGCUUACAUUGUGGAGCAUUUCUAUUGCAUGUGAAGUUCCUCUGAAGACAGUUCAAUCCUGGAAAGACACUGGCAAGCACAGAGAACAAUUAGUUCACAUUAUCUGUUAACAUGAUUAAAAGAAAAGUAAAGGACCAAAACUCACCUUAUGUUUGAUAUGUCAAAUUUGAAGUUGUUCACUGCCAGAUUCCUAUACAGUUCCAUGCAAUGCAUUAAUUGUAAAAUUUUUGGACAGAGAUGCAAGGGCAGGAGACUUCAUGAAAUUCUCAUACAACUGUUAUAGUAGAAUGAUAAAAGUAAAGAAACUAGGACCAUUGGUUUAGUAUGAGCAAUAAGCUUGACAAGGUCUGAACUCCAGCACAAAGAGGCAAUUCUAGAAAAUGAAGAUGAACGGAGCAUUAUCAUAGUUUAAGAGACAUACAUUUGUAAUUCUGAAUUCACCCACAAUGGAAAAGUUCCUGAUAGAUGAUUAUGAGAUAAAUCUCUGCAGGAAAAAUUUUGUUAAGCACUAGUAAACAAGUUCAAACAUGUGAACCAACGUAUAUAUAUGUUAGACAAAUAAAAAACCUGGCUGAGUAUAUUGUUUUGUUGCCAGAGAAAGAAGCCAGAAGUCACAGCUGAUGCAUGCAUGGAAGAUGAUAAUCACUGGCCUAAAUCUAAAACACUUUCAAAUCGAAACAUGCAACGUAUAUUCUCAUGGUUUGAAUUGCAAGUACUGAGGAGAAAAUCAGUGUUUAUCUGUGGGUAUAAGGGCACAUUGAGGAGCAAGCAUAGGGAUGAAUUUCUAGAAUUUUUCUUUCAAUAAAUCAGAAAGCUGAACCAAAGCUUACAUUUUUUGAAGGUUUUCACUUUUUUGAUCAGGAAGUGUUCCUGACAAACUAUUGUUUCCAAGAAACCUGGCCAUUGAAAGCAGCGUAAGCAGCAUUGGCAAUAACAAAACAAUGACCAAAGUCCAAAAGUAAAAAUCUUGAAUUGAUGAAGGAAAGCUUCAAAGAAUUUACAAGUAUUCAAGAGAAUCGAUAUUGAACAAAGUUGCUGGGAUUUGGCCUGUUAAGUUGUUGAAACUCAAGUCCCUGCAAAAUAUAGAUAAAAAUUUUGGGAAAAAUAUAUAUCAAAAUGAGAAAAGGAAAGUGGCACUAUAUAAUUUAUUUCUUAAUAUCAACUUACAAUAUCUGUAACAUUUGAAGCUCUCCAAUUCCAGAUGGAAUAGUACCAGUGAUCAGAGCAUUUCUUAGGGACCUAUGGAGUAGAAGAACAAAAAACCAACUCAUAACUAAUCAGAGUCAAAAUGAGAAGGCUGCCAAACACAAUGAAAUAUAUAGGCAGUAUACUUACAAGUCAUUUAAGUUCUUCAAACUCAUAACGAAAUCAAGAGAUGAACUCACGUUAUAUAUAUCGCCCAUUUGUCUAAACAAUCAAUUCAAACAUCACGGAUAUGAUUCAUGCUUCCAAAGAGAGAAUGAGAGACCAAGAGAUUGUCAGGAAAAGAUUUACUCACAAGGAUUCUAAUGAAGCCAACUUAGACAAACUGGAUGGGAUAGGACCUUGAAAAGAAUUCCCCUGAAAUCUCCUACAGCAACAUUUUGACAAACAUGUUAGGAAAACUAUCAGAAGCCAAGCAAAAUCUUUAAUGCGCUACACAGAACACAGAUAAUGUAUAUAGUCAAGGAGUUAUACGAAGCAUACAAGGACUUAAGCUUAGUCCAAUUGCCAAUGAAGUCUGGUAUUUUGCCUGUAAAAGGAUUAUCUGAUGCCCACCUGAAAUUUAACAAAUUAAUCAAUUUAGGCAGCACAAUCUUUAUGCCGGAGAGAAACAAAAUGUCAUAUGUAAAAAACUUUGCUUACAGAGUUUGCAUAUUGCGAAGUUUAGCAAAUGUGGAGGGAAUUUCACCACCGGCCCCACAACUGUCUAUGUAACUGUUGAAUUUAUCAAUUGAAAAUUACUUUGUUUCAUAAACCUGCAGCUUUGCUAAAUUGAAAAAAAAAAUGAUAAUGAUCAAAUAUGUAAAAAGAAAGAAAGAAAUUUAGAAACUACAGUUGCUCAAGUUUGGCUAAGUUGCCAAGUUCUGGAGGGAGCGCUCCUGAGAAAUUGUUGGUACCAAAAGCACUGCAAUUUGAAAUUAAAAUUUUUACACUGAUUUAAAAGAAGAAGAAGAAGAAUAAAAAUAAAAAUGAAAUUCCAAUCUUACAGAACAGUUAACUCCUUAAGGUUUCCCAGCUCCCUGGGGACAGGCCCCGAGAAGUCAUUGUGGGAAAAUGACCUGUACACAAAAAUAUAACACUCCGUUACACAACACACAAAGAAUAAAGAAUUUGCAGCCUAAUCCAAAAAUCAAAUCAGAGAAUAUUAGAAAAAGCCAAUUUCAAUACUUACAGAAACAUCAAUCGAGACAAAUUUCCAAUAAAUGAAGGCAAGGGGCCAGUGAAGAAAUUUUGAUCAAUUUUCCUACAAAAUUCAAAGAGAAAUUGUUAAUCAUGUUGAUUACAUAAAUUUGAUUUAUACAUACAAACUGAAGGACAGAUAAUAUAUAUAAGUGACAAAUCCAUACAGAACUGUCAGGUAUUGCAAAGUUACUAGCUCUUCAGGAAUCACCCCUUUUUUGUUUAGUCCAUAUACUCUCCUGUGAAAAAAAAAAAACAAACCAUUAGAUUGCAGAUGCAUCAACCAUUUUAGAAAUUAAUAUUAAUUAACAAGCGCAGAGAUAUACUAAGAGAGCAUUACAGUUUAGUAAUGUGGCAAGUAGCACCAUUGUCAAAGGUGCAGUUACAAACAAUAGCAGGAUUGUUAUUUGGGCUCUCAAAUUCAGAAUCAGUUGCAUUGAGUGCAGAUCCACUGCAUGGGUUUCCACUUAUGUUCCAUAAUGGCGCGGCCGGUGCAUCCCAUUGCUGCAGUAUUGAGUUCAGUGCCCUCACUGCUCAUCAAACACAUGCAUGCUAGUUUGUUACCAAAUGAGAUCAUUUAAUUCCAUAAAUUCAUUAACAUAUUGUGAUGCACCUGCAUGCUUGUAAGCCAAACGCCGCUGAUUUUCAAAAGCAACAGCAAGCUGUUUGUUUUAGAGUGCAUUUGGGAUUGAGAUUCGACAGCUGUAACUUAAAAGUUAUAGUAUUUAAGUGUUUAAUAAAUACUAACUGCUGUAUCUUUUAAGCUAUUUUGAUAUGAUUUUUCACUUAUAUAAUGAAAAAUAUAUUAUAUCUUAAUAAUUUUAUCAAAAUUAUUAUUUAAAAAUUAUAUUCAUUAUAUAUUAUUAAUUUUUAUUUUAUAAUUAUAAUUUUUUUUCCACAACAACUGAAGUUUAAAAGCUGCAGCACCUCAAUCCCAAAUAGACUCUUAAUUAGAGCACACGCAUACUUCACAUGCGUGCUUGCCGUGCAUGCUUAUAUACGGUGGGCACAUAUAAAGUGAAGAAUUGAAGCAGCUCUCACCAUUUUCAUAAUCGAACCAUAAAAAACAAUUGGAAGAUAGAAGAAAUUGAAAGAAAACGAGAGAAAGAAAGAAAAGAAAAGAAAAGAAGAGAUAAAAUAGAAAGAAGAAAAUAUAAGGAGAAAAGAAAUUAAGAAGCCAAGAGUGAAAAUCAAGUAAUAAUGAAAGCUAAUACGGGAAAGUUGAGGGGACAUGGAAUUCAACAGUUAGAUUUAUAUUUCGAGAAUUAGUGGAUAAUGGAUUUAGAAAGUAUGAACAGUUAUGUUAUAAUUUUUAGCAUACUUUUGAGUUUUUAUAUCAGUCGUUAAUUUUUUAUAGUAGUUUUUUAGUCUAAAAUUUUAAAGUGUGGAAAAGGUUUGAAAUUUUUUUUAAAUUACACAUCUUUAAAGAAUUAUGAAAUUAACACUUUAAUACUGUAGGAUUUAAAAGAUUUAUUGGACUUUCUCGCACUUUAAAAUUUAAAAUUAGAAAAUUUCUAUAAUUUUUGAAUCUUGUGUUUAAAAGAAAUUUAAGUUCUUAGGAAUUAACAAAAGCCCCACAAAACAAAACAGUAAUUGAGUCAGGAUUUGUGAGAUGAUUUAAUAGUAUGAUUUAGUAGUAUAUCAUGAUUAUAUGUAUGCUCAUUAUAUGAGUGAUUGAAUCCCUAAAUGUGAUUGCCAAGCACCAUAUGUGUACUCUUCUUGUUAAGUACUUUGCGUAUACAUAUUGAGAGUUAGAGUACUAUACCUGUGUGAUGAAGUUAAAUUCCGUUGGAUAUUAAGAGGUUAUUCCUCACUAUAUUCACGCAAUGAUAAUCCCGACGAGUGCGACAAUUAUUUCCCCUGGGUAUUAUUUAGUGCAUUUUUCUCAUGUAUGAUUUUAUGUUUUCUUAUGUAUUAUGUUCAGUGUAGAAUUAUGUCAUAUGAUUGUGUAUAAUUAUUAGUGCACUACUUUAUUUUAAUAUAUAUAAUUGUAUCUACUCAUUGAACUGCAAGUUCACCAUUUUCUUAUUUAUCCAAAUUUUUCUAGGUUUUCGCAGGGUUUCAUACAGUUCAUUUUCCAAUUAGUUGAGGUUGGACCACGACGUGCAGUGCUGCAUGACUUGCAUUUUAAGCACGUUUAUGCUCAUAUGUAUAUAUUUAAGAUAUAUGCAUAUAUAGUAAGAUGUGAAGUGUGCAAAUUUCAAAUAUGCUUUUGAAUAAGGUAUAGAUGUUAUUAUAUAUUUUAACGUGAUGUAGUCGUUCUUUAGUGUGGGUGCCAUUUUUUUAUGCGGCAUGCUUUUAAACCAUGGUAUUUAAGAGAGUUAUGUUUUUUUUACUCUUUUAAGCCAUACGGUUUAAAAACGUGAUAUGCAUUAAAAAAAAAAAAAAAAGAGGGCGCUUGCACCUGAGAAUCAUUUUCAGGUUCGAGUACUUUUUUUUUUUUAAUGUGAACACACUGCUAAACCGUGCGAUUUAGUAGCGUGUCUAGAGUUGACAAAAACACGGCCUUGAAGUCUGGUCGACAUGAGUUGGGCCUGAAUAUGGGUUGAAAAAUAUAAAGUCGACACAAAUUGGAUCUAAAUAAGGGCCUAGCUUUUUAAUUUAUACAAAAAAAAAUUAAAUUUAAAUAAAAAACUCAAAAUAUUAAAUUAAUAUUUUUUUCAUAUUAGUAUUUGUGAUUUAUUAUGUUGUGUUAUUUUGUGUAUUAGACUAUUAUUCUAUUAUCUAUUGGAUAAUUAUUUUUUAUUUAAAUAUUUUUUAUUUUAUUAAAAAAUUAUUUUAUAUUUAAUGGAACAAGCCCAAGUCUGGCUCAAGGCCUGUCCAUCCAAACUUGGACUUAUCUAGGCUUGUUGUCUACAAUAUGGACAUGGGCUCAGGCUUGGAAAAAACUUAAAUAAGUCCAUAUUUUGCCAACCUAAACGUGUUUGUAUUGACUCUAUUAAAUUGCACAAUUUAACAAUGCAUUCGUAUGAAAAAAAAAAAGAGCUCACACAUUAGAGAAUGGCUAUAUAUGUACACUUUAGAGUUAAUGCACUUUAGAUAUGAUUAUAUAUAAAAUCAAUAUCUGUUUUUUUUUUAUUAUUAAUUAAAGAGUGAAUACGUACAACAAAUUUUAAAUUAGAAGAUUUUGAAUUCCCUCGUGUACGAUGUAAAAGUAUAAACACAGUUAACAAAUUUGAUAAAAAUUAAAUUAAGAGUUUCUAGCAAAGAAUGCCAAAAUUCAGUCCUGCCUCUAAAUUAAUUAAGUUAUCGCCUUUUUUUUUUUUUGGCCCUUUUGCGGUGGGGGUGGUGGCGUAUGGAAUGAACAUUUAUAUCGUACUGUUUGGGAUAUAAUUUGGAAGGUUUAGGAUCACUCUUUUUCAGAACGUUUCAACUCAUUUAUUAAGAAGGAUCCACAUGCUUGACUAAUAGGGGCUUGAAACCAGGCAGCGAAGAUAGUCCUUAAUUAUUGUAUGUAUCUAUGAUAUAUCUCAAUGUGAAAAUUUCAAUUAUUAUAAUUAUUAUAUUGAAAAAAAAAAGUGGUCCCAUUAGAUGAAGAAAUUAUUGAAGUUAAAUAGUUAAAGGUCUUUAUAUAUGUAGCCUCGUUUGUUUGAAGUCUAAAGAGAUAAUAAUGUGAAAUAUAUGAUUUAGGAAAAUAAAUUGGAAUUGCACAACUACUUUCACUUUUUGGAAACAGAAAAAGUCCACGAUUUUUUUUUUAGGAAUUUUAGGACUCAGAAUUAUAUAAAUAUAAAAUUUUAGAAAGUUAAUUAAUAUAAAAGCUCACUGUGCAUAUAAAGUUAAUUGUUUUCAGAAAAGAACCAAGCUACUACACAUACACAUAAUUAAUUUAUGUCAAAUUAAACAAAGAAAAGAAAAAAGAAAAAGAAAAGAAAAGAAAACGGCGGGCGGUGGCUGGCUAGCAAGAGAAUUAAUUAACGAGGAGAAAUUAAAUGUGUUAAAGAAAAUGGAUAUAUAUACCUUCAGCAGGGUCGGUCGUAGCAUUGGUGUUAUGUUGAGCGUUGGAUAAACAAAUUAGCAGGAAGAGAUGAGCGAAUAGUAGUGAGGAAGAAAGCAGCAGCUUCAACGAUCCCACUCCAAAAUUCAUCUUCAUUUCUCGUUACAAUUUACAAACCCAGAAUAAGGAGAAUUUAAUGCUAAUUUUUGAAUCUAUAGUUUUGUUAAAGUUAAAGAAUAUGUAGAAGAAGAAGAAGCUGGCCAGAGUCAGUCAAUAUUUGUCUUUUUCUCCAGUGUCGUGCAAGCAUUUUAAGUCGUUCCAUCUAUCAAAGAAAAGUCGUUCAAAAACAAAAUAAAAAAUAAAAUAAAAUAAAAAUGUAUCAGAAUUGACCAAAUUCAACUCUCAUAUGUGCAUAAUAAAAACAAUAUAAUACAUUGCAUCUUAACCAAUACGAUGAAAUCUUAGUGUCUCUUUCCCACCCUCACCGGAUUAUUAUCAUCCACAGCACUUUUGCCGACGCAAACUCAACAUAAAAUUGUAUCAACAUAUUCAAUUUAGAAGAACGCAGAGUGUUACUCCCAGGGACACAGUACAUUUGUACACACCCACAGCAGAAGAGGGGGAAAACAAUAUCUGCACAUGCGGAAGAAGCAAAGCAAUGAAUUAAUCAGAGUCUAGACGUUGGCUGAAUUGUCGGGCUUGAAUUUAGUAGCAGCAGCAGCAGGAGGGGAUGGGUAAGUGAAUGUAGUAGCUUCACUGCCUGUGCCUGGCUGUCAAGGAAGCUCAUAUUUGCAAGAGCAGAGGAUCACAGCAGCAGCCACAUUCAGUUACGAGUUGAUGAUAUGGCAUGCCAGCUGGAGUCUGGUGGUUAUGUAAAUAGUUGUGCAUGUGUUAAUUAGCUUAAGCUGUUAUGAUUAGUUGUUAGAAUCAGUUAAUUAGCUGUAGCUAAUUACAACUAUCUAAGCUGAGCUUCAGCUUAGUAUAAAUAGCAACAGCAUUGUGUAUAUCAUUAAUAACAUGAUUAAUGAAAAUGAUGUUCUAGAAAACUCUUAGAUUCCGUUCUUAUUUUCUCAUUGAUUUUCUCAGUUGCCAAACAAUAUUUUCAUUCUUCAACUUGGUAUCAGAGCUAGUAGCAAUGGUUUCAGUCCAUCUAGUUUCUUUUUCUUCUCAAGCGCCAGUCAAUCACACAACUGUUAACUCAACAAAUGUGACAUUCACUUUCAAUACACCUAUUAAGCUAGAUCAAUCCAAUUAUUUGAUUUGGCGAUCUCGAGUUCUUGCUUUAAUUCGUGGCAACAGACUUGAGAAAUUCAUUGAUGACUCAACCACUCCACCUCCUUCACACAUUGCUCAAAGAAUUAGAGAUGAUCUGAGAUCUGUAGAGAAUCUAGACUUUGUAACUUGGAGAUCACAAGAUCAGGUGCUUCUUGGCUGGUUGCUUUCUUCAAUGAGUGAAGGUAUCAUUAGUCUAGUUUUCAAUCUAGAGACUUCUCAUGAGGUAUGGAAAGCUAUUGAAGUUCAAUUUGGAUCACAAUUUAAAUCUAGGCUUCUACACUUGAGAUAUAUGAUGAACUCAACUAGGAAAGAUGAUCUAAAAAUUACUGAUUAUUUCAUUAAGAUGAAAAAUAUUGUUGAUAAUAUGGCUGCAGCAGGAAAUGCAUUAAGUGAUGAUGAUUUAAUUCUGCAUAUACUCUUUGGCUUAGGUCCAGAUUAUAACUCUAUUGCUACCUACAUUACUGGACAAGUAAGAGUGAGGAAAAUGAAUGUAAACGAAGCUUAUGCUAUGCUCCUAACUCAAGAAGUUAGGAUUGAACAACAAACUCAUAUGCUGGCUAAUACAGAUGUGAAACAAAAUUUUGAGGCUAAUCUUGCUCACAACAGAGGUUAUAAAAGGGGAAAUAUGUCAGGAGGAAAAGGUUUUGGUGGCUUUGGAUAUAAUUCUGGCUAUGGAAACAUUAACAGUGCUGGCUAUAAAGGAGGUUAUGGAGGCUCUGGAUUUAAUGCUAACAGUGGAAAUGCUUAUGGCACCAAUCAUCAGUUCAAAGCUUAUCAAGGAGAUAAUCAGAGAGGUUGAGGAGGAGGUAACUGGAAUUAAAAUGCUUGAAAUAGUGGAUUUAACAAUAGUAGACCGCUUGGAAACAUUAAACCUCAGUGGAAUGUCUCUAAGCCAACCUGUCAAAUCUGUUUCAGAACAGGUCACACUGUUAAUAUUUGCUAGAAACUUGAAGAGUUUAUUGCAUCUGGAGCUUACAGACCACCACCAAACAGAAAUCCAAAAUCUACAUAUUUGGCUAAUAUGGAGGGACCUGCUGAUGCAAAUUAGUAUCUGGAUAGUGGUGCAACACACCAUCUGACAAAUGAUAUCAACAAUAUGCAUGUUUCUAAAGCUUUUGUAGGUACAUCUAAACUUUUUGUUGGCAAUGGUGCUGGAUUAAAUAUAACACACAUUGGAAGUGCUGCAUCGAAAUCAUAUAACUCCAAUAAUGCCUCCUUUAACUCUUAAACUAAAUGAUAUCCUUUUAGUGCCACAAAUUACUAAAAACCUCAUUAGCAUCUCUAAGCUCACAAAAGAUAAUGACGUUGUGAUAGAGUUUACUGAUAACUUUUGUUUUGUGAAGGACAAGGUGAGGAAUUUGAUCAUACUGCAGGGCAAGGCUGAAAAAUAUUUAUACAAAUUGCUAUUGGUUGCAUCUAAUAAGAUAGUCUCUUCUACUUCUAAUCAAAGCUAUGUUGUGGAGUUAAUUGUAUCAACUACUCCUCUUUCAAUGUUUUCAGUUGUCAAUUCUACUAUUUCAAAUAACACCUCUUGCCUGUAUACUGCAGCAACUUCUUGUAAAAAUUGAGUGUUUGUUAAGUACAUCUGUACUGCAUCAAAGAUUGGGAUAUCUAUCUUCUAAGAUCUUGAAUCAUGUAAUCAAAUCAUGUUCAUCUCUCAAUCUUGUCAAUAAGAAUAAAACCUUUUAUUUAUGUGAUGCUUGUAAAAUAGGAAAAAUGCACAAGCUUCAUUUUCCAGCUACUGAUAUCAAAACAAAGUCUCCCCUGGAAAUAUUACAUACUGAUUUAUGGGGACCAGUCCCUGUGAUUUCAUUACAAGGCUACGUAUAUUAUGUAAGCUUUAUUGAUGAUUUCACAAGAUUUACUUGGAUAUUUCCUUUGAAAACCAAAAGUAAAACAUUGUCAGUCUAUAAAAUUUUCAAAAACCAAAUUGAAAAACAACUUGACAGACCUAUAAAAUGUCUUCAAUCAUACCGGGGUGGAGAAUUUAGAUCCUUUGUUAACUUUCUUCACACUGAGGGAAUUCACUUUAGACAUUUAUGUUCAUAUACUCAUAACCAAAAUGGAAUUGUAGAGAGAAAUCAUAGACAUAUUACCAAACUUAGUCUUACUCUACUUGCACAAGCAACUUUACCUAUUAAAUUCUAGUGGGAUUCUUUCCAUACAGCCACAUACAUCAUAAACAGAUUACCCACCCCAAUUCUAUCAAUGAAAUCUCCUUAUGAAUCUAUCUAUCAUCUUCCUCCAGAUUACAAAUUCUUAAGAACAUCUGGAUGUUCAUGUUUUCCCUUUCUUAGAAACUACAAUCAACACAAGUUUCACUCUCAUACAUCUAAAUGUAUUUUCCUGGGGUAUAGUCAUUUGCAUAAGGGUUACAAAUGUGUCAAUCCCUCUGGUAAAAUCUAUAUAGCUAGUCAUGUUAUUUUUUUAUGAAACCUCAUUUCCAUAUUCAUAUAUUUUCAGCUCAUAUUCUCCAUCCAAAUCUUCUGAAUUUCAAUACAAUCUUCUUCAACAGUAUAUUAUUCAUGUUUCCAAUAGCAAUUUAAACACCUUUGAAGUCGAUACUGUAGAUAAUGAUACAUAUUCUCAUCACCUUCAUACCAUAUCUUCACCACUCUUUCACAAUACAUCAUCUCAACCCUCACCACCUGCUACUUUAUCCCAUUCAGCCAUAACUUCUUAACCAACUCAACCAAUUCCCUUUAUACCUCUAACUGAUACAACACAAAAUACAUCAUCCUUACAACCCAUCAUAUCUCACUCUCAAAUUCAACCAACACACUUAUCUAAACCUAAACCAAUUCUCUCCACACAUAAAAUGAUCACUAGAGCAUAAGCUGAGAUAUUCAAACCGAAAGCCUACUUAACAAAUCACAACAGCCCGGAACCAUCUACUGUUUCAGAAGCAUUAUCUGAUCCCAAACGGAAAGCAGCAAUGCAAACUGAAUAUAAUGAUAUGAUUAAAAACAAAACUUGGAAUCUUGUGGCUUUGUGCUCAACCUAUAAACUAGUUGGGUGCAAAUGGGUGUUCAGAACCAAGUACAACAUAUAUGGCUCAGUUUCAAAAUAUAAAGCUAGGUUGGUAGCCAAGGGAUUUCAUCAAACUGCAUGUAUUGAUUAUUCAGAAACAUUCAAUCUUGUAAUGAAGUCCUCAACAAUGAGAUUAAUUCUUAGCCUAGCUGUCAUGAAAGGUUAGACAAAUUGAUGUCAAUAAUGCCUUUUAAAUGGGGAUUUGUCAGAGGAUGUGUAUAUGAUUCAGCUUGAGGGUUUUGUAUCCAAAGAAGGCUACAUAUUCAAGCUUAACAAGGUACUAUAUGGAUUGAAACAAGCUCCAAGAGCUUGGUAUGAUAAACUGAAAAGCUAUCUUACUACUUGAAAAUUCUUCAAUUCUAAAGCUGACACGUCUCUCUUUGUUGAACAUGAUGAAAAAGGCAUUAUUAUUGUCUUAAUCUAUGUUGAUGAUAUUUUGGUUACUGGCCCUGACUCAGCAUUACUUGAAGAUUUCAUUAUUAAACUCAGUAAGGUUUUUGCUCUCAAGGACUUAGGAUUAGUGGCCUAUUUUCUUGGAGUAGAAGUUUGUUACACAACUCAUGGAAUGCAUCUUUCACAGACAAAAUAUAUUAAGGAUUUGUUAAGUAAAGCCUCAAUGCAAAAUUGCAAAGGAUCAGAUACACCUUUUAGUACUGGUUUCAAACUGGAGAAAAAUGUUAAGGGUCCAUUGGGGCAAGAAUUUGAAGAACCAGCACUUUAUGGAAGCGUCAUUGGGGGACUUCAGUACUUAAUUCUCACCAGGCCUGACAUUGCAUAUUCUGUACAUAAACUCAGCCAGUAUCUUAGCAAUCUUACACUCCAGCACUGGUUAGCAUGCAAGAAAGUUCUCAGGUAUCUUCAAGCUACAACCACUCAUGGUUUAUACAUUCAAAAUGAGGGAACACUUGGAAUUGCAGGUCUAACAGGUUACUCUGAUGCUAACUUGGCACGUGAUGUUGAUGAUAAAAAAUCUAUUGGAGCUUACUGUAUUUACCUUGGUAAUAAUCUGAUUUCCUGGUCAUCAAAAAAGCAAGUUAUUGCAGCUAAGUCCAGCACAAAGAGUGAAUACAGGGCACUAUCUUCAGCAAGUUCAGAACUCUCUUGGUUGCAAUCCCUACUAUCAGAGCUUAAUAUUGUGCAAUUACCAACUCCAAUUCUUUGGUGUGACAAUCAGAGUGCUGGAGAAUUAGCCCGAAAUCAUAUUCUUCACUCUAAAUCUAAACACAUUGAAUUGGGUGUUCAUUACAUUAGAGACAAAGCGCUUGGAAAAGAAUUAGAAGUAAAAUACAUUCCUACUGAAGAACAAGUUGUUGAUGUCCUUACUAAAGCUCUGUCAUUUAUCAAGGUUUACUACUUUUGAUUCAAGCUCAAUGUCAUCAACAGGCCAUUGAGCUUGAGGGGGGGAUGUUAAGGAAGCUCAUAUUGCAAGAUGGUCAGCAGAGCAGAGGAUCACAGCAGCAGCCAUAUUCAGUUACGAGUUGAUGACAUGGCAUGCCAGCUAGAGCCUGGUGGUUAUGUAAAUAGUUGUGCAUGUGUUAAUUAGCUUAAGCUGUUAUGAUUAGUUGCUAGAAUUAGUUAAUUAGCUGUAGCUAAUUACAACUAUCUGAGUUGAGCUUCAACUUAGUAUAAAUAGCAACAGCAUUGUACAUAUUAUUAAUAACGUGAUUAAUGAAAAUGAUGUUCUAGAACACCCUUAGAUUCAGUUCUAAUUUUCUCACUGAUUUUCUCUGUUGCCAAACAAUAUUUUCGUUCUUCAACUCUGGCGGAGGCGUUGGCACCCCAAAAACUUGUGGAUUGGUUCUGAUAUCUUGUCUUCCUCUAGCUCUUCCCAAGUAAAAGCACCCAAAUCCAAGCAAUAGGCUGAACAACAUCAACGGAAUGAUAUCACCACCACCAUACCCAUCUUUAUUUGAUUUGAUGAUCAGAAAUCGCAGCAGAAGAGAGGUUUAUAUAAGAAUAAGAGAAUGAGAGAGAGCUAUGAAUGAACUAUGAUGAUGAUGAUGACGAUGAUACGGAGGUUUCGGAUUCUCUCUUCUUUUAAGAACAUGUUUCUUUCUUAACGGUUGGCUUAACGUUCAAGCUCUAACGGUUACUUUUAUUGUUGGGCCAGUUAAAUAAUUCUCCUAAUACAAAACAACGUUAAAUAAAUAUUGAGAUGGCUAUUCAUCCCGCAAUUAUAAAGGUAUAGUAUUUUGUUCAUUCUUGUUUAAAAAAAAAAAAAAGACUCUAUAGAGUUCAAUGUAUGGAGCCUUCUCAUGGUGUUCGGAUUCAACAUGUGCCAAAGUCCUCUAAUCAGCCGACCCAUUUUCUAUCUAAACUAACUUUUAACUGAAAGCUAUGAUUUCAUAAUUUUUAAACCAGUGUACUGGAAAAUGAAGCGAAAAAGAAGAUGGAAAGAUGAAGAAUAAUAAUACAACAUGCUUGUUACCUCAAUACAUUAAUAAGGGUAAUUAACGGUCUACAAAUACAUUUUGUUUAUUAUUUUGAGGACUUGUUUCAUUUUAUUUACGUGCAUUGAUGUCUUCCCAAAAUCAGAAGUUUUUAAUGAACUUCGACAAUGUUGCCUGCCACUCGUAGUCAUAGAACAGUAUUUCGUGCUGCACAUAUGCAUGUACUGUAAUUGCUAGAAAUAGCUCGACGGGAGAAAUUUAAGGCACCAUAAGAAGCAGAUCAUUCCACCACCACAAGGCUGCUUUUGUUUCAGAAACUGUCAAAUAGUAAGAUCACAGCCGCGACGCGACAAAAAUAUUUCUCACCUCCCUUCUGCUAUAAUAUCACUUAGCUGUGUGACAUUUACUGGGGAGACUAAUGCAUUAGUUCCUUCACUAUGAUCAUCAACUGGAUUUUCUCUUUCGCUUUUCUCCUUGCUGUUACUUCUUUUAUUAGAUGAUGAAGGCGUUGGCGUGUCUUCGUUCAAAAAGCUUGCUGUUAUAUCUUUAAAAUCCCAAUCUGUCAAAUAACUUGGCCUUGAAAUAACUGUGCCAACUUCUACAUCCCCAGCAAGCAUGGCCACAACGCGUGACAUUGGUGGCCUCAUCAUUGGUGAUGCUUGAGUGCACAAGAGAGCUACUCCUAUCACCCGAAGAGCUUCCUUGUCGUUAAACUCUGUUAAUGUAGGAUCUACAAGCCCCAAACUUUGAUUAUUUUCAUGGAGAUUCCAAGCCUAGAAACGUCAUAUAGACAAUAAUUCAGAUGAAGAUUGAAAGAAUUAAGUUUCUUUAACCAGAAGAAUGCAGAGAUAAGAAAGAAAAGGAAGCAGAAUGAAGUUCAAGAUUAUUUUCUUCACCCAUUCGAGAAGAUAAAUCUUUUCCGUAUCCAAACUGUUGUCAGAGUUUGCUCUUCCACUUAUCAUCUCCAACGCAACAACGCCAAAACUGAAAACAUCGGCCUUCUCUGUCAAGUGUCCGCGCAUUGCAUACUCCGGUGCCAAAUAUCCACUACAAGCUCAAUAGUUACUGAUCAAAAUCUCCAAACUCCAUUGUGUCCAAAAAUUGAAAGAUAAGGCGUGUGUGGAAUUAUCAUUUUUGGAAGAAUGGAAUGAAGAAAUGUUGAAGGAGAUUACAUGGUCCCUGCAACUCUUGUGCUGAUGUGGGUUUUCUUGUCAUCAAACAGCUUUGCCAAUCCAAAAUCUGAUAUCUUGGGGCAGAGCUCUGCAUCAAGUAAAAUAUUACUUGCUUUGACAUCUCGAUGUACAAUCCUAGGCCUGGAUUCUUCGUGAAGAUAAGCCAGCCCUCUUGCUGUUCCCAAGCAUAUACUGAACCUGGUAGGCCAAUCCAGACGCAAUUCAUGGUCUCCUGCAGAAAUGUCGGCUGCAGUGGUUAGAAAUUUAUGGAGUUACAGAAGGGCAAAUUGAUAAUUCUAGGGUAAUUUAUCUGCAUGAGGUCUCACUGAGACAUUGUCAAUCAGCUUUAGGAUAGUGAUUGUGGCUAAUUUGCUGUUAUUGACAUUGUCUAAACAACAGAUUUUGGAUUUAAGAUUACAAAAUAGAUCAUGCAAUUUCCAAAAGUCAGUGACUCAGCACUUUCUUCUUUGAAUUCUUUGCCUCAGCAACCAAGUUAAAACACGGCGUUUGCGCUAUUUUCUACUAAUUAGUAGUAAGAAUGAAUUGAUUAUCAUACAGUAAGAAUGAAUUGAUAAUCAUACCGAACAAUACUUGAUCGAGGCUUUUGUUUUCAAGAUACUCAUAAACAAGGAGGCGCCUGGCUCCUUCAAUGCAGCAUCCAUACAAUCUCACAAGAUUGCGAUGUUGCACUGCAGAUAUGGUAGCAAUCUCAUUUACAAAUUGAUUCUUCCCUUGGUGAGAUGCUAUUGAAAGUUGCUUCACAGCUAUUACUCUCCCAUCAGAUAGAGUACCCUGUCAAGUACAACAUUUGGCAAUUUGAAAACAUAUCGACUACAUCCUAGUGAAAAUUGCUUUGUUGUCUAGUUGCAAUGACAGGCUAUGAUCACCCAUUACAAGUACUGGAUGGCAACGCUAGGAUGAAAGAAAACUAUCAAUUGGCUGAAAUCUUAAUAUGUAUAGUUACCUUGUACACAGGUCCAUAUCCUCCCUCUCCAAGCUUGUUUGAAGGGUCAAAGUCUUUUGUUGCAGAUCUCAACUCAGCAUAGCUGAAAAUGUUUGGUUUAGAGCCUAUCCCAACUAGCACUGCAGGUUCAACCAAGACAAAAAUUAUGGACAGAGUAUAGGAUGGGAUACCAUAACUGUUCGUGAAUAUCAAAAUUACAAAAUAAUGAAGGACUUAUAUUACAAAAGAUGAAUUAAGCAGAACAUUUACCAAUAUGGAAUUACAAAUUCAUUGAGUUUCAUGAACAAGCUUGCGAAACUACUAUUACAUAUUGUAAAAUUGUCAAUGGACUCUUCUUACCUUCCUCAUCAUCGUUGUCUUUUUCUCUCCGCAUGUAGAACACUAUAGAUAUCACUACCGAUCCUAAAAUUCCGAGAGGGACUGCAAUACCAACAAUCAAACCUGUGUGACUCUUCUUCCCUGGAGUACUUGGGGGUAAUCCACUUGCAGUUGGUGGGAAAGCUGAGCAGAAAAAACUCAGUUAUUACCAGCUGGAAGAGGCAUAUAAGCCAUUUUAUUUAUUAUAUUCCAUCUUAAAUGAAGAUUCACUCGAAUCAUAUGCUUUACCUGAAACAACACUGAGAGCUGAAAUUGCUGGUCCAUAAUUACCUUGUUCAGGUAUGCAGCAGGUCCCUUUACCAGCCCAAAAUAGGUGAAUUUCGAGAUGGUUUUCUGACACAGUAGCACUGAAGUUUUUUAUAAUAGCUCUGUUAGGCCCUCCCGCCUCCUUUGAUAUGUCAAAAUCCUUCCACUGGAGACGUCCCUAGAAGAUAGACAAUUAGAGAUAGAAUUAUUAUUUCUCAAUGCAUAAAGAGAGAGAGAGAGAGAGAGAGAGAGUUGUAAUUUCGGAAUCACAUGAUCUCCAGCUCCAAAUUUUGGUUCAGGGCAUAUGUUCACCUGAACAUAGAUAUCAAAAACACGCCUUCCAAGACUCUCCCACCUUUCUGUGCUUGGAUCAGGAAAAUUUGUUUCUGCAAAUAACAAGCUUACAUUAUAAGGUCCAUUCACAAGACCCAGGCCAUAGUAUCUAAGUGAUCCGGCAGAUAUCCUUGACGUCUGAUAAAGCUCUGGGGUCCUGGUGCCAGUCACUUGUGCUAGAGUGUUUAGCACAUACGCUGGAUUUUCUCUUUCAUUAAACAAACCCACUUUACUAACUGCCCAUUUUUCUGUAUUGGUCACAACAAAGGCCGAUGCGCCAAGAUAUGAGUUAUCACCCUCAUACACUAUGUUAUCAGCUCUCAUUUCUGGACUACCACAUUUGAUUGAGAAGUUUGCAUCUGCAAAUGCAAAGACAAAAAUUUCUAGCUAUUUUCAGAUUGAAUUCCGACAUCAAAAUUUCACCAACAUUUUUGCAUAAAAGUCAAUAACUGGGUAAAGAGAAAUCAUUCAGGCAAUUUUUUUUUUUUUUUUUAAUUACACAUCCGGCACUCUACAAAUAUUUUUCAAUUCUCAUCACAUGCGAACUCUCUUUAUCACAUCAAAGCUUUUUAAAGCUAAGAUGGCUUAAUACACCAAAUUUAUAAUGUAACUACUCUACAAUUUCGACUGACAGUGGUAACAAAAAUUGUCCCCACUUGCAACACAGCUACCUGAAGUCAUAUUUAAAACUUCUGUACUACUUCUUGCUCUUUUUUUCCUCCGCAAUUCAGAAGUAUGGUUAGACAAGCGUUCUUUCUUCUAAAUGUGAAACUACAAUAACUUAUAAAAAUAUGAUACUGCAAACAGCAGACAGAAGGCAGCUUACAUUGUGGAGCAUUUCUAUUGCACGGGAAGUUCCUCUGAAGACAGCUCAAUCCUGGAAAGACACUGGCAAGCACAGAGAACAAUUAGUUCACAUUAUCUGUUAGCAUGAUUAAAAGAAAAGUAAAGGACCAAAACUCACCUUAUGUUUGAUAUGUCAAAUUUGAAGUUGUUCACUGCCAGAUUCCUAUACAGUUCUAUGCAAUGCAUUAAUUGUAAAAUUUUUGGACAGAGAUGCAAGGGCAACAGACUUCAUGAAAUUCUCAUACAACUGUUAUAGUUAAAUGAUAAAAGUAAAGAAACUAGGACCAUUGGUUUAGUAUGAGCAAUAAGCUUGACAAACUCUGAACUCAAGCACAAAGAGGCAAUUCUAGAAAAUGAAGACGAACGGAGCAUUAUCAUAUUUUAAGAGACAUACAUUUGUAGUUCUGAAGUUGCCCACGAUGGAAAAGUUCCUGAUAGAUGAUUAUGAGAUAAAUCUCUGCAGGAAACAUUUUGUUAAGCACCAGUAAAUGAGUUCGAACAUGUGAACCAACCAACAUAUACAUAUGUUAGACAAGUAAAAAAUCUGGCUGAGUAUAUUGAUUGGUUGCCAGAGAAAGAGGCCAAAAGUCACAACUGAUGCACGCAUGGAAGAUGAAAAUCACUGGCCUAAAUCUAAAACACUUUCAAAUCGAAACAUGCAAUGUAUAUUCUCAUGGUUUGAAUUGCAAGUACAGAAGAGAAAAUCAGUGUUUAUGUCUGGAUAUAAGGGCACAUUGAGGAACAAGCAUAGGGAUGAAUUUCUAGAAUUUUUCGUUAAAUAAAUCAGAAAGCUGAACCAAAGCUUACAUUUUUUGAAGUUUUUCACUUUUUUCAUCAGGAAGUGUUCCCGACAAACUAUUGUUUCCAAGAAACCUGGCCAUUGAAGCAGUAAAAGGAGCAUCAGCAAUAACAAAACAAUGACCAAAGUCCAAAAGUAAAAAUCUUGAAUUGAUGAAGGAAAGCUUCAAAGAAUUUACAAGUAAUUAAGAGAAGAUAUAUUGAACAAAGUUGCUGGGAUUUGGCCUGUUAAGUUGUUGAAACUCAAGUCCCUGCAAAAUAUAGAUAAAAAUUUUGGGAAAAAUAUAUAUCAAAAUGAAAAAAGGAAAGUGCCACUAUAUAAUUUAUUUCUUAAUAUCAACUUACAAUAUCUGUAACAUUUGAAGAUCUCCAAUUCUAGAUGGAAUUGUACCAGUGAUCAGAGCAUGUCUUAGGGACCUAUGGAGCAGAAGAACAAAAAACCAACUGAUAACUAAUCAGUUUCAAAAUGAAAAGGCUGCCAAACACAAUGAAAUAUAUAGGAAGUAUACUUACAAGUCAGUUAAGUUCUUCAAACUCAUUACGAAAUCAAGAGAUGAACUCACAUUAUAUAUAUCGCUGAUUCGUCUACAGAAUCAAUUCAAACAUCACGGAUAUGAUUCAUUCUUCCAGAGAGAGAAUGAGAGACCAAGAGACUGUCAGAAAAAGAUUUACUCACAAGGAUUCUAACGAAGCCAACUUAGACAAACUGGACGGAAUAGGACCUUGAAAAGAAUUCCCUUGAAAUCUCCUACAGCAACAUUUUGACAAACAUGUUAGGAAAGCUGUCAGAAGCCAAGCAAAAUCUUUAAUGCCCUACACAGAACACAGAGAAUGUAUAUAGUCAAGGAGUUUUUUGAAGCAUACAGGGACUUGAGCUUAGUCCAAUUGCCAAUGAAGUCAGGUAUUUUGCCUGUAAAAGGAGCGUCUGAUGCCCACCUGAAAUUUAACAAAUUAAUCAAUUUAGGCAGCAUAAUCUUUAUACAAGAGGAGAAACAAAAUGGCAUAUGUAAAAAACUUUGCUUACAGAGUUUGCAUACUACGAAGUUUAGCAAAUGUAGAGGGAAUUUCACCACCGGCCCCACAACUGUUUAUGUAACUGUUGAAUUUAUCAAUUGAAAAUUACUUUGUUUCAUAAACCUGCAGCUUUGCUAAAUUGAAAAAAAAAAUGAUAAUGAUCAAAUAUGUAAAAAGAAAGAAAGAAAUUUAGAAUCUACAGUUGCUCAAGUUUGGCUAAGUUGCCAAGUUCUGGAGGGAGUGUUCCUGAGAAAUCGUUGGUACCAAAAGAACUGCAAUUUGAAAUUAAAAGUUAUACACUGAUUUAAAAGAAGAAGAAGAAAAAAUUGUUGAAAAAGAAAUGCCAUCUUACAGAAUAGUUAAUUCCUUAAGGUUUCCUAGCUCCCUGGGGACAGGCCCCGAGAAUCCAUUGUGGGCAACUGACCUGUACACAAAAAUAUAGCACUGCAUUAGACAACACACAAAGAAUAAAUAAUUUGCAGCCUAAUCCAAAAAUCAAAUCAGAGAAUAUUAGAAAAAGCCAAUUUCAAUACUUACAGAAGCAUCAAUCGAGACAAAUUUCCAAUAAAUGAAGGCAAGGGGCCAGUGAAGAAAUUUUGAUCAAUUUUCCUACAAAAUUCAAAGAGAAGUUGUUAAUCGCGAUGAUUACGUAAAUUUGAUUUAUACAUACAAACUGAAUGGCAGAUAAAAUAUCUGAGUGAAAAAUCCAUACAGAAAUGUCAGGUACUGCAAAGUUACUAGUUCUUCAGGAAUCACCCCUUUUUUGUUUAGUGCAUAUACUCUCCUGUGACCAAAAAAAAAAAAAAAACAAACAAACCAAUCCAUUAGAUUGCAGCUGCAUCAGCGAUUUCAGAAAUUAAUAUUAAUUAACAAGCGCAGAGAUAUAUUAAGAGAGCAUUACAGUUUAGUAAUGUGGCAAGUAGCACCAUUGUCAAAGGUACAGUCACAAACAAUAGCAGGAUUGUUAUCUGGGCUCUCAAAUUCAGAAUCAGUUGCAUUUAGUGCAGAUCCACUGCAUGGCUCUCCACUUAUGUUCCAUAAUGGCACCGCCGGUGCAUCCCAUUGUUGCAGUAUUGAGUUCAGUGCCCUCACUGCUCAUCAAACACAUGCAUGCAUGGUAGCUUUGUUACCAAAUGAUAUCAUUUAAUUCCAUAAAUUCAUUAAUAUAUUGUGAUGCACCUGCACGCUUGUAAGCAAAACGCGGCUGAUUUUCAAAAGCAACGGCAAGCUGUUUGCUUUAAUUAGAGCACACGCAUGCUUCACCUGCGUGCUUGUCAUGCAUGCUGAUAGACGGUGGGCACAUAUAAAGAUAGAAGAAAUUGAAAGAAAACGAGAGAAAGAAAGAAAAGAAAAGAAGAGAUAAAAUAGAAAGGAGAAAAUAAAAGCAAAAGAGAAAGAAAAUAAAAGGAGAAAAGAAAUUAAGAAGCCAAGAGUGAAAAUCAAGUAAUAAUGGAAGCUAAUAAGGGAAAGUUACGGGGACAUGAAUUCAACAGUUACAUUUAUAUUUCGAGAAUUAGUGGAUAAUGGAUUUAGAAAGUAUGAACAGUUAUGUUAUAAUUUUUAGCAUACUUGUGAGUUUUUGAGUUUUUAUAUCAGUUGUAAAUUUUUUAUAGUAGGAUUUUAGUCCAAAUUUUAAAGUGUAGAAAAAGUCUGGAAAAUCUUUAAAAUUGUAUAGUUUUAAAGAAUUAUGAAAUUAAUACUUUAAAAUUGUAGGGUUUUAAAGUUUUGUCGGACUUUCUCGCACUUUAAAAUUUUGCAUUGAAAAUUUUUUAUAAUUUUUUAAUCUUGUGUUUAAAAGAAAUUCAAGUUUCUAGGAAUUAACAGAAGCCCCACAAAAAAAAACAGUAAUUGAGUCAGGAUUUGUGAGAUGAUUUAAUAGUAUGAUUUAGUAUCAUAUCAUGAUUAUAUGUAUGCUCAUUAUACGAUUGAUUGAGUCUGAUUGCCAAGCACCAUAUGUGUACUCUUCAUGUUAAGUGCUUUGUGUAUGCAUAUUGAGAGUUAAAGUACUCUACCUGUGUGAUGUAGUUAAAUUCCGUUUGAUAAUGAGAUGUUAUUCCUCUCUCUACUCACGCGAUAAUAAUCUCGAUGAGUGUUGCAAUUAUUUUCCCUGGGUAAUAUUUAGUGCAGUUUUCUCAUGUAUAAUUUCAUGUUUGCUUAUAUAUUAUGUUCAGUGCAGAAUUAUGUCAUAUGAUUGUGUAUAAUUAUUAAUGCACUACUUUAUUUUAAUAUAUAUAAUUAUAUCUACUCAUUGAGCUGCAAGUUCGCUAUUUUCUUAUUUAUCCAAUUUUUUCUAGGUUUUCGCAGGAUUUCAUACAGUUCAUUUUCCAUUAGUUGAGGUUGGGCCACGAUGUGCAGUGUUGCAUGACUUGCAUUUUAAGCACGUUUAUGCUCAUAUGUAUAUAUAUUUAAGAUAUAUGCAUACAUAGUGAGAUGUGAAGUGUGCAAGUUUCGAAUAUGUUUUCGGAUAAGGCAUAUAUGUUAUUAUAUAUUUUCACGUGAUUUGGAUUAGACCCAAUAGUUGGGUCGGGUGGGGUCGUAUCACACACACACUCAUGUAGUCGUUCUCUAGUGUGAGUGCCAUCAUUUUUUUCAUGCGGGCAUACUUUUAAACCAUGAUGUUUAAGAGAGUUAUGAUUUUUCACUCUUUUAAGCCGUACGGUUUAAAAGUUUAAAAGCAUGUCUGCAUUAAAAAAAAAAAAGAGAGAGAGUGCCUGCACUUGAGAAUGAUUAUGUAUAUAUUUGUAAUCAUUCUCAGGUUCGGGUGCUUUUUUUAUUUUUUAAUGUGGACACGCUGUUAAAUCGUACGAUUUAAUAACGUAUUUAGGGUUGGCAAAAACACGGGCUUGAAGCCCCGUCGACAUGAGUUGGGCCUGAUUAUGGGCUUAAAAAUACAAAGUCGGCACAUAUUGGACCUAGAUAAGGGCCUAGUUUUUUAAUUUAUAAAAAAUAAAUUAAAUUUAAAUAAAAACUCAAAAUAUUAAAUUAAUAUUUUUUUCAUAUUAGUAUUUGUGAUUAAUUAUGUUGUGUUAAUAAUAUUUUGUGUAUUAGACUAUUAUUCUAUUACUUAUUGGAUAAUUAUUUUUAAUUUAAAUAUUUUUUACUUUAUUAAAAAAUUAUUUUAUUUUUAAUGGAACAAGCCCAAGCCUGGCUCAGGGCUUGCCCGUCCAAACUUGGAAGGAUUUUUGAAGGGCCUGGGCUUGUUAUCUAUAAUAUGGGCUUGAGCCAAGGUUUGGAAAAGUCCGACACAAGUUCAUAUUUUGCCAACCUAAGCGUGUCUGCAUUGACUUUAUUAAACGUUUAAUAGUGUGUUCGCAUGAAAAAAAUGAGAGCCUCCACAUUAGAUAAGGAUUAUAUAUGUACACUUAUUAGAGUUAAUGCACUUUAGAUAUGAUUAUAUAUAAAAUCAAUGUCUUUUUUUUAUUAUUAUUAAUUAAAGAGUGAAUUUGUAGAACGAAUUUUAAAUUCGAAGAUUUUGAAUUCCUUCGUCUACGAUGUAAAAGUAUACACACAAUUAACAAUUUUGAUAAAAAUUGAAUUAAGAGUUUCUAGCAAAGAAUGCCAAAAUUCAGUCCUGCCUCUAAAUUAAUUAAGUUAUCGCCUUUUUUUUUUUUUUUGGACUUUUCGGGUGGGGGUGGGUGGCGUAUGGAAUGAACAUUUAUAUCAUGUACUGUUUGAGAUAUAAUUUGGGUUUAGAAUCACUCUUUUUCAGAAUGUUUCAACUCAUUUAUUAAGAAGGAUCCACAUGCUUGACUAAUAGGGGCUUGAAACCAGGCAGCGAAGAUGGUCCUUAAUUAUUGUAUGUAUCUAUGAUAUAUCUCAAUGUGAAAAUUUCAAUUAUUAUAAUUAUUAUAUUGAAAAAAAAAGUGAUCCCAUUAGAUGAAGAAAUCAUUGAAGUUAAAUAGUUAAAGGUCUUUAUAUAUGUAGCCUCGUUUGUUUGAAGUCUAAAGAGAUAAUAAUGUGAAAUAUAUGAUUUAGGAAAAAAAAUUGAAAUUGCACAGCUACUUUCACUUUUUGGAAACAGAAAAAGUCCACGAUUUUUUUUUUUAAAGAAUUAUACAAAUAUAAAAUUUUAGUCGAAGUUAAAAGAAUAACAUCUCUAAUUGGACAAAAUGAAACACACAUAUUUAUAUCCUGGUUAAGAAUUCAGUUUUAAUUUAUGUUUUUGCUAAACAAUGAACCAAUGGUUAUUAGGCAAAUAUUUAUAUAUAUAAUUCUGAUCACGACUCAGUAUGAAAAAAAAAAAUUCAAUAUAUAUAUAAUUCUGAUCAUGACUCAGUAUAAAAAAAAAAAUUCAAUUCAGUAUUAAAUCCUAAUCUCUAUAUCCGUACGGGUUAUAUUGAUGAUAUUGGGAUGAAUAUAUUUUAUUGAAACAGAAGUUAUAGACCUAACAUCCCUGACUGUACAGUAAUGAACUCUAUAUUACUACACUGCUAGCUUAAUUAUCAUCUAACACUGUAAUUUUAAAUAACGAACUAAAGCUUCAUAUAUUUUAGCUACUGGCUAGGUUUCUGACUUUCUGCAGCUCACUGUGUAUAUAAAGUUAAUUGUUUUCAGAAAAGAAUCAGGCUACUGCACAUACACAUAAUUAAUUUAUGUCAAAUUAAACAAAGAAAAGAAAAAAGAAUAAAAAAAGAAAAGAAAAGAAAACGGCGGGCGGUGGCUGGCUAGCAAGAGAAUUAAUUAACGAGAAGAAAUUAAAUGAGUUAAAGAAAAUGGAUAUACAUACCUUCAGCAGGGUCAGUCGUAGCAGUGGUGUUAUUUUGAGCGUUGGAUAAACAAAUUAGCAGGAAGAGAUGAGCGAAUAGUAGUGAGGAAGAAAGCAGCAGCUUCAACGAUCCCACUCCAAAAUUCAUCUUCAUUUCUCGUUACAAUUUACAAACCCAGAAUAAGGAGAAUUUAAUGCUAAUUUUUGAAUCUAUAGUUUUGUUGAAGUUAAAGAAUAUGUAGAAGAAGAAGCUGGCCAGAGUCGGUCAAUAUUUGUUUUUUUUUGUUUUUUCAGUGGUGCAUGCAUUUUAAGUCGUUCCAUCUAUCAAAGAAAAGUCGUUCAAAAACAAAAUAAAAAAUAAAAUGUAUCAGAAUUGACCAAAUUCAACUCUCAUAUGUGCAUAAUAAAAACAAUAUAAUACAUUGCAUCUUAACCAAUACGAUGAAAUCUUAGUGUCUCUUUCCCCACCCUCACCAGAUUAUUAUUAUCCACAGCACUUUUGCUGACGCAAACUCAACAUAAAAUUGUAUCAACAUAUUCAAUUUAGAAGAACGCAGAGUAUUACUCCCAGGGACACAGUACAUCUGUACACACCCAGCGCAGAAGAGGGGAAAAACAAUAUCUGCACAUGCUGAAGAAGCAAAGCAAUGAAUUAAUCAGAGUCUAGACGUUGGCUGAAUUGUCAGGCUUGAAUUUAGUAGCAGCAGCAGCAGGAGGGGAUGGGUAAGUGAAUGUAGUAGCUUCACUGCCUGUGCCUGGCUGUCAAGGAAGCUCAUAUUUGCAAGAUGGUCAGUAGAGCAGAGGAUCACAGCAGCAGCCACAUUCAGUUACGAGUUGAUGACAUGGCAUGCCAGCUGGAGCCUGGUGGUUAUGUAAAUAGUUGUGCAUGUGUUAAUUAGCUUAAGCUGAUAUGAUUAGUUGUCAGAAUUAGUUAAUUAGCUGUAGCUAAUUACAACUAUUUGAGCUGAGCUUCAACUUAGUAUAAAUAACAACAACAUUGUACAUAUUAUUAAUAACAUGAUUAAUGAAAAUGAUGUUCUAGAAAACUCUUAGAUUCAGUUCUUAUUUUCUCACUGAUUUUCUCAGUUGCCAAAAAAUAUUUUCGUUCUUCAACUUGGUAUCAGAGCUAGUAGCAAUGGCUUCAGUCCAUCUAGCUUCUUUUUCUUCUCAAGCGCCAGUCAAUCACACAACUGUUAACUCAACAAAUGUGACAUUUACUUUCAAUACACCUAUUGAGUUAGAUCAAUCCAAUUAUUUGAUUUGGCGAUCUCAAGUUCUUGCUUUAAUUUGUGGCAACAGACUUGAGAAAUUCAUUGAUGACUCAACCACUCCACCUCCUUCACAUAUUGCUAAAAGAAUUAGAGAUGAUAUGAGAUUUGUAGAGAAUCUAGACUUUAUAACUUGGAGAUCACAAGAUCAAGUGCUUCUUGGCUGGUUGCUUUCUUCAAUGAGUGAAGGUAUCAUUAGUCUAGUCUUCAAUCUAGAGACUUCUCGUGAGGUAUGGAAAGAUAUUGAAGUUCAGUUUGGAUCACAAUCUAAAUCUAGGCUUCUGCACUUGAGAUAUAUGAUGAACUCAACUAGGAAAGAUGAUCUAAAAAUUACUAAUUAUUUCAUUAAGAUGAAAAAUAUUGUUGAUAAUAUGGCUGCAGCAGGAAAUGCAUUAAGUGAUGAUGAUUUAAUUCUGCAUAUACUCUUUGGCUUAGUCCAGAUUAUAACUCUGUUGCUACCUACAUUACUGGACAAGUAAGAGUGGGGAAAAUGAAUGUAAACGAAGCUUAUGCUAUGCUCCUAACUCAAGAAGUUAGGAUUGAACAACAAACUUAUAUGCUGGCUAAUACAGAUGUGAAACAAAAUUUUGAGGCUAAUCUUGCUCACAAUAGAGGUUAUAAAAGGGGAAAUAUGUCAGGAGGAAAAGGUUUUGGUGGCUUUGGAUAUAAUUCUAGCUAUGGAAACAUUAACAGUGCUAGCUAUAAAGGAGGUUAUGGAGGCUCUGGAUUUAAUGCUAACAGUGGAAAUGCUUAUGGCACCAAUCAUCAGUUCAAAGCUUAUCAAGGAGAUAAUCAGAGAGGUGGAGGAGGAGGUAACUGGAAUCAAAAUGCUUGAAAUAGUGGAUUUAACAAUAGUAGACCACCUGGAAACAUUAAACCUCAGUGGAAUGUCUCUAAGCCAACCUGUCAAAUCUGUUUCAGAAUAGGUCACACUGUUAAUAUUUGCUAGAAACUUGAAGAGUUUAUUGCAUCUGGAGCUUACAGACCACCACCAAAUAGAAAUCCAAAAUCUACAUAUUUGGCUAAUAUGGAGGGACCUGCUGAUGCAAAUUAGUAUCUGGAUAGUGGUGCAACACACCAUCUGACAAAUGACAUCAACAAUAUGCAUGUUUCUAAAGCUUUUGUAGGUACAUCUAAACUUUUUGUUGGCAAUGGUGCUGGAUUAAAUAUAACACAUAUUGGAAGUGCUGCAUCGAAAUCAUAUAACUCCAAUAAUGCCUCCUUAACUCUUAAACUAAAUGAUAUCCUUUUAGUGCCACAAAUUACUAAAAACCUCAUUAGCAUCUCUAAGCUCACAAAAGAUAAUGAUGUUGUGAUAGAGUUUACUGAUAACUUUUGUUUUGUGAAGGACAAGGUGAGGAAUUUGAUCAUACUGCAGGGCAAGGCUGAAAAACGUUUAUACAAAUUGCUAUUGGUUUCAUCUAAUAAGAUAGUCUCUUCUACUUCUAAUCAAAGCUAUGUUGUUGAGUUAAUUGUAUCAACCACUCCUCUUUCAAUGUUUUCAGUUGUCUAUUCUACUCUUUCAAAUAACACCUCUUGCCUGUAUACUGCAGCAACUUCCUGUAAAAUUUGAGUGUCUGUUAAGUACAUCUGUACUGCAUCAAAGAUUGGGAUAUCUAUCUUCUAAGAUCUUGAAUCAUGUAAUCAAAUCAUGUUCAUCUCUCAAUCUUGUCAAUAAGAAUAAAACCUUUUAUUUAUGUGAUGCUUGUAAAAUAGGAAAAAUGCACAAGCUUCAUUUUCGAGCUACUGAUAUCAAAAUAAAGUCUCCCCUGGAAAUAUUACAUACUGAUUUAUGGGGACCAGCCCCUGUGAUUUCAUUAUAAGGCUACGUAUAUUAUGUAAGCUUUGUUGAUGAUUUCACAAGAUUUACUUGGAUAUUUCCUUUGAAAACCAAAAGUAAAACAUUGUCAGUCUUUAAAAUUUUCAAAAACCAAAUUGAAAAACAACUUGACAGACCUAUAAAAUGUCUUCAAUCAGACUGGGGUGGAGAAUUUAGAUCUUUUGUUAACUUUCUUCACACUGAGGGAAUUCACUUUAGACAUUCAUGUUCAUAUACUCAUAACAAAAAUGGAAUAGUAGAGAGAAAUCAUAGACAUAUUACUGAACUUGUCUUACUCUACUUGCACAAGCAACUUUACCUAUUAAAUUCUAGUGGGAUUCUUUCCAUACAGCCACAUACAUCAUAAACAGAUUACCCACCCCAAUUCUAUCAAUGAAAUCUCCUUAUGAAUCUAUUUAUCAUCUUCCUCCAGAUUACAAAUUCUUAAGAACAUAUGGAUGUUCAUGUUUUCCCUUUCUCAGAAACUACAAUCAACACAAGUUUCACUCUCAUACAUCUAAAUGUAUUUUCCUAGGGUAUAGUCCUUUGCAUAAGGGUUACAAAUGUCUCAAUCCCUCUGGUAAAAUCUAUAUAGCUAGUCAUGUUAUUUUUUUAUGAAACCUCAUUUCCAUAUUCAUCUAUUUUCAGCUCAUAUUCUCCAUCCAAAUCUUCUGAAUUUCAAUACAAUCUUCUUCAACAGUAUAUCAUUCAUGUUUCCAAUAGCAAUUUAAACACCUUUGAAGUUGAUACUGUAGAUAAUGAUACAUAUUCUCAUCACCUUCAUACCAUAUCUUCACCACCCUCUCACAAUACAUCAUCUCAACCCUCACCACUUGCUACUUUAUCCCAUUCAGCCAUAACUUCUUCACCAACUCAACCAAUUCCCUUUAUACCUCUAACUGAUACAACACAAAAUACAUCAUCCUUACAACCCAUCAUAUCUCACUCUCAAAUUCAACCAACACACUUAUCUAAACCUAAACCAAUUCUCUCCACACAUAAAAUGAUCACUAGAGCAGAGGCUGGGAUAUUCAAACCGAAAGCCUACUUAACAAAUAACAACAGCCUGGAACCAUCUACUGUUUCAGAAGCAUUAUUUGAUCCCAAAUGGAAAGCAGCAAUGCAAACUGAAUAUAAUGAUAUGAUUAAAAACAAAACUUGGAAUCUUGUGGCUUUGUGCUCAUCCUAUAAACUAGUUGGGUGCAAAUGGGUGUUCAGAACCAAGUACAUCAUAGAUGGCUCAGUUUCAAAAUAUAAAGCUAGGUUGGUAGCCAAGAGAUUUCAUCAAACUACAUGUAUUGAUUAUUCAGAAACAUUCAGUCCUGUAGUGAAGUCCUCAACAAUGAGAUUAAUUCUUAGCCUAGCUGUCAUGAAAGGUUAGACAAAUUGAUGUCAAUAAUGCCUUUUUAAAUGGGGAUUUGUCAGAGGAUAUGUAUAUAAUUCAGCUUGAGGGUUUUGUAUCCAAAGAAGGCUACAUAUUCAAGCUUAACAAGGCACUAGAUGGAUUGAAACAAGCUCCAAGAGCUUGGUAUGAUAAACUGAAAAGCUGUCUUACUACUUGGAAAUUCUUCAAUUCUAAAGCUGACACAUCUCUCUUUGUUAAACAUGAUGAAAAAGGCAUUAUUAUUGUCUUAAUCUAUGUUGAUGAUAUUUUGGUUACUAGCCCUGACUCAGCAUUACUUGAAGAUUUCAUUAUUAAACUCAGUAAGGUUUUUGCUCUCAAGGACUUGGGAUUAGUGGCCUAUUUUCUUGGAGUAGAAGUUUGUUACACAACUCAUGGAAUGCAUCUUUCACAGACAAAAUAUAUUAAGGAUUUGUUAAAUAAAGCCUCAAUGCAAAAUUGCAAAGGAUCAGAUACACCUUUUAGUACUGGUUUCAAAUUGGAGAAAAAUAUUAAGGGUCCAUUUGGGCAAGAAUUUGAAGAACCAGCACUUUAUGGAAGCAUCAUUGGGGGACUUCAGUACUUAAUUCUCACCAGGCCUGACAUUGCAUAUUCUGUACAUAAACUCAACCAGUAUCUUAGCAAUCUUACACUCCAGCACUGGUUAGCAUGCAAGAAAGUUCUCAGGUAUCUUCAAGCUACAACCACUCAUGGUUUAUACAUUCAAAAUGAGGGAACACUUGGAAUUGCAGGUCUAACAGGUUACUCUGAUGCUAACUUGGCACGUGAUGUUGAUGAUCAAAAUCUAUUGGAGCUUACUGUAUUUACCUUGGUAAUAAUCUGAUUUCCUGGUCAUCAAAGAAGCAAGUUAUUGCAGCUAAGUCCAGCACAGAGAGUGAAUACAGGGCACUAUCUUCAGCAAGUUCAGAACUCUCUUGGUUGCAAUCCCUACUAUCAGAGCUUAAUAUUGUGCAAUUACCAACUCCAAUUCUUUGGUGUGACAAUCAGAGUGCUGGAGAAUUAGCCCGAAAUCAUAUUCUUCACUCUAAAUCUAAACACAUUGAAUUGGGUGUUCAUUACAUUAGAGACAAAGCGCUUGGAAAAGAAUUAGAAGUAAAAUACAUUCCUACUGAAGAACAAGUUGUUGAUGUCCUUACUAAAGCUCUGUCAUUUAUCAAGUUUAACUACUUUUGAUUCAAGCUCAAUGUCAUCAACAGGCCAUUGAGCUUGAGGGGAGGAUGUGAAGGAAGCUCAUAUUUGCAAGAUGGUCAGCAGAGCAGAGGAUCACAGCAGCAGCCAUAUUCAGUUACGAGUUGAUGACAUGGCAUGCCAGCUAGAGCCUGGUGGUUAUGUAAAUAGUUGUGCAUGUGUUAAUUAGCUUAAGCUGUUAUGAUUAGUUGCUAGAAUUAGUUAAUUAGCUGUAGCUAAUUACAACUAUCUGAGUUGAGCUUCAGCUUAGUAUAAAUAGCAACAGCAUUGUACAUAUUAUUAAUAACGUGAUUAAUGAAAAUGAUGUUCUAGAAAACCCUUAGAUUCAGUUCUAAUUUUCUCACUGAUUUUCUCUGUUGCCAAACAAUAUUUUCGUUCUUCUAACUCUGGCGGAGGCGCUGGCACCCCAAAAACUUGUGGAUUGGUUCUGAUAUCUUGUCUUCCUCUAGCUCUUCCCAAGUAAAAGCACCCAAAUCCAAGCAAUAGGCUGAACAACAUCAACGGAAUGAUAUCACCACCACCAUACCCAUCUUUAUUUGAUUUGAUGAUCAGAAAUCGCAGCAGAAGAGAGGUUUAUAUAAGAAUAAGAGAAUGAGAGAGAGCUAUGAAUGAACUAUGAUGAUGAUGAUGACGAUGAUACGGAGGUUUCGGAUUCUCUCUUCUUUUAAGAACAUGUUUCUUUCUUAACGGUUGGCUUAACGUUCAAGCUCUAACGGUUACUUUUAUUGUUGGGCCAGUUAAAUAAUUCUCCUAAUACAAAACAAGGUUAAAUAAAUAUUGAGAUGGCUAUUCAUCCCGCAAUUAUAAAGGUAUAGUAUUUUGUUCAUUCUUGUUUAAAAAAAAAAAAAAAAGACUCUAUAGAGUUCAAUGUAUGGAGCCUUCUCAUGGUGUUCGGAUUCAACAUGUGCCAAAGUCCUCUAAUCAGCCGACCCAUUUUCUAUCUAAACUAACUUUUAACUGAAAGCUAUGAUUUCAUAAUUUUUAAACCAGUGUACUGGAAAAUGAAGCGAAAAAGAAGAUGGAAAGAUGAAGAAUAAUAAUACAACAUGCUUGUUACCUCAAUACAUUAAUAAGGGUAAUUAACGGUCUACAAAUACAUUUUGUUUAUUAUUUUGAGGACUUGUUUCAUUUUAUUUACGUGCAUUGAUGUCUUCCCAAAAUCAGAAGUUUUUAAUGAACUUCGAGAAUGUUGCCUGCCACUCGUCGUCAUAGAACAGUAUUUCGUGCUGCACAUAUGCAUGUACUGUAAUUGCUAGAAAUAGCUCGACGGGAGAAAUUUAAGGCACCAUAAGAAGCAGAUCAUUCCACCGGCACAAGGCUGCUUUUGUUUCAGAAGCUGGCAAAUAGUGGAUCAUAGCCGCGACGCGACAAAAUUAUUUCUCACCUCCCUUCUGCUAAAAUAUCAGUUAGCUGUGUGACAUUUACCGGGGAGACUAAUGCAUCAGUUCCUUCACUGUGAUCAUCAACUGGAUUUUCUCUUUGGCUUUUCUCCUUGCUGUUACGUCUUUUAAUAGAUGAUGAAGGCGUUGGCGUGUCUUCUUUCAAAAAGCUUGCUGUUAUAUCUUUAAAAUCCCAAUCUGUCAAAUAACUUGGCUUUGAAAUAACCGAGCCAACUUCUAUAUCCCCAGCAAGCAUGGCCACAACGCGUGACAUUGGUGGCCUCAUCAUUGGCGAUGCUUGAGUGCACAAGAGAGCUACUCCUAUCACUCGAAGAGCUUCCAUGUCGUUAAACUCUGUUAAUGUAGGAUCUACAAGCCCCAAACUUUGAUUAUUUUCAUGGAGAUUCCAGGCCUAGAAACAUCAUAUAGACAAUAAUUCAGUUAAAGAUUUAAAGAAUUAACUUUCCUUUAACCAGAACAAUGCAGAUAUAAGAAAGGAAAGAAUGCAGAAUGAAGUUCAAGAUUAUUUUCUUCACCCAUUCGAGAAGAUAAAUCUUUUCCGUAUCCAAGCUGUUGUCGGAGUUUGCUCUUCCACUGAUGAUCUCCAACGCAACAACGCCAAAACUGAAAACAUCGGCCUUCUCUGUCAAGUGUCCGCGCAUUGCAUACUCCGGUGCCAAAUAGCCACUACAAGAUCAAUAGUUACCGAUCAAAAUCUCCAAACUCCAUUGUAUCCAAAAAUUGGAAGAUAAGGCCUGUAUGGAAUUAUCAUUUUUGGAAGAAUGGUAAGAAGAAAUGUUAAAGGAGAUUACACGGUCCCUGCAACUCUUGUGCUGAUGUGGGUUUUCUUGUCAUCAUACAGCUUUGCCAAUCCAAAAUCCGAUAUCUUGGGGCAGAGCUCUGCAUCAAGUAAAAUAUUACUUGCUUUGACAUCUCGAUGUACAAUCCUGGGCCUGGAAUCUUCGUGAAGAUAAGCCAGCCCUCUUGCUGUUCCCAAGCAUAUGCUGAACCUGGUAGGCCAAUCCAGAUGCAAUUCAUUGUCUCCUGCAGAAAUGUUGGCUGCAGUGGUUAGAAAUUUAUGGAGUUACAGAAGGACAAAAUUGAUAACUCUAGGAUAAUUUAUCUGCAUGAGAUCUCACUGAGACAUUGUCAAUCAGCUUUAGGAUAGUGAUUGUGGCUAAUUUGCAGUUAUGGACAUUGUCUAAACAAUAGAUUUUGGAUUUAAGAUUACAAAAUAGAUCAUGCAAUUUCCAAAAGUCGGUGACUCAGCACUUUCUUCUUUGAAUUCUUUGCCUCAGCAACCAAGCUAAAACAUGGUGUUUGCGCUAUUUUCUACUACUUAUUAGUAGUAAGAUGAAUUGAUUAUCAUACCGAACAAUACUUGAUCGAGGCUUUUGUUUUCAAGAUACUCAUAAACAAGGAGGCGCCUGGCUCCUUCAAUGCAGAAUCCAUACAAUCUCACAAGACUGCGAUGUUGCACUGCAGAUAUGGUUGUAAUCUCAUUUACAAAUUGAUUCUUCCCUUGGUGAGAUGCUAUUGAAAGUUGCUUCACAGCUAUUACUCUUCCGUCAGAUAGAGUACCCUGUCAAGUGCAACAUUUAGCAAUUUGAAAAAUAUCCACUAUAUCCCAGUGAAAAUUGGAAAGCAUCAACUAAGUUUUCUAGUUGCAAUGUCAGGCUAUGAUCACGGAUUAAAAGUACUACAUGGCAAAGCCAGCGUGCAAGAAAACUGUCAAUUGGCUGUAAUCUUAAUAUAUAUAUAGUUACCUUGUACACAGGUCCAUAUCCUCCCUCUCCAAGCUUGUUUGAUGGGUCAAAAUCUUUUGUUGCAGAUCUCAACUCAGCAUAGCUGAAAGUGUUUGGUUUAGAUUCUAUCCCAACUAGCACUGCGGGCUCAACCAAGACAAAAAUUAGGGACAAUAGCAUAGGAUGGGAUACCACAACGGUUUGCGGAUAUCAAGAUCCCCAAAUAAUGAAGGAUUUAUAUGACAAAAGAUGAAUUAAGCAGAACAUUUACCAAUAUCAAAUUACAAAUUCAUUGAGUUUCAUGAACAAGCUUGCUACAACUACUAUUACAUAUUGUUAAAUUGUCAAUGGACUCUUAUUACCUUCCUCAUCAUCGUUGUCUUUUUUUCUCCGCAUGUAGAACACUAUAGAUAUCACUAUCAAGCCCAAAAUUCCAAGAGGUACUGCAAUACCAACAAUCAUUCCUGUGUGGUUCUUAUUCCCCGGAGUACCUGGGGGUAAUCCACUUACAGAUGGUUUGAAAGCUGAGAAGUAAAAACUCAGUUAUUAGGAGCAAAGAAGCAUGUAAGCCAUUUUAUUUAUUAUAUUCCAUCUUAAAUGAAGAUUCACAGGAAUCAUAUGCUUUACCUGAAACGGCACUGAGAGCUGAAAUUGCUGGUCCAUAAUCACCUUGAGUAGGUACGCAGCAGGUCCCUUUACCAGCCCAUAAUAGGUGAAUUUCAAGAUGGUUUUCUGACACAGCGGCAUUGAAAUUCUUUAUAAUAGCUCUGUUAGGCCCUCCCGCCUCCUUUGAUAUGUCAAAAUCCUUCCACCGGAGAGUUCCCU
RNAcentral lists this long non-coding RNA (34353 nucleotides) under Citrus x clementina. RNAcentral's name for it is "Citrus clementina (C. clementina) long non-coding RNA (CCLE_LNC005665)". The stretch from base 9234 to 9370 matches the Rfam family "Small nucleolar RNA Z247". Lineage: Eukaryota; Viridiplantae; Streptophyta; Magnoliopsida; Sapindales; Rutaceae. The record is from RNAcentral.